RNAcentral lists this ribosomal RNA (273 nucleotides) under uncultured bacterium. RNAcentral describes it as "partial 16S ribosomal RNA". It matches the Rfam family "Bacterial small subunit ribosomal RNA", at positions 524 to 796 of the family's 1533-position model. The record is from RNAcentral.
GACAGAGGGUGCAAACGUUGCUCGGAAUUACUGGGCGUAAAGCGCGUGUAGGCGGGUCGGAAAGUCGGGCGUGAAAGCCCCAGGCUCAACCUGGGAACUGCACUCGAAACUUCCGGUCUAGAGUGGUGGAGAGGGAAGUGGAAUUCCUGGUGUAGAGGUGAAAUUCGUAGAUAUCAGGAGGAACACCAGUGGCGAAGGCGGCUUCCUGGACACCAACUGACGCUGAGACGCGAAAGCGUGGGGAGCAAACAGGAUUAGAAACCCCCGUAGUCC